UUUACUCCCACCCAAAAUUAAUCCCAGCCAGCGCCCGUCAAGCCGCAGCCAGCGCCCGCAUUGCCGCCGCAGUCAGAUCAGACAUGGCGCCGCAGCUGACCGGCGCGCCCGGCUCGGCGGCGGCGGCGGGCCGAGCCUCCGCGCUCGUUAAGCCGCAGUUCCACCACUACCACCACCACCGCCUCCCCCGCUCCUCUCCAAGCCUGCCUUCUGGUCCGUCUGCUCCCUCUCGCUGCUCCUCGCCUUCCUCAUCCUCCUCCACCUCUCCACGCCGGCGAUCGCCGCCGCGCGUCCUCCUCGACGACACCCCCUCCCCCCGGACCAGGCGAUGAAGCUGAAGAUCAACAAGGCGUGCGACCUCGCCUCCAUCUCCGUCCUCCCUCCCCGGAGGAACCGGGGGAGCGGCGGUGGCGGGGCCAGCGCUUCCGCGUUGGCCGCGGCGGCAUCGCAGCAGCGGUCCCGGUCGAUGUCGCAGAAGUCCUUCUAGCAGGGAGGGGGCGGGUCGUUCUCGCAGAGCAUCGGCGCGUCCUUCUCUCAGGGCGGAGGCAGCGGAGCCGUGUCCUUCUCUCAGGGUAGAGGCGGCGGUGGCGCGCUCUUCUCGCAAGGCAGCGGAGGAGCGGCGUUCUCUCUGGUCGGUGGGGCCGGAGGCGCGGCGUUCUCUCAGAUCGGUGGAGGUGGAGGCGGCUCGUUCUCUCAGGGCGGAGCUGACGGAGGCGCUGCCUUCUCUCAGGGUGUAGGAGGCGGCGGAGGCGCGGCCUUCUCUCAGGGCGGCGACGGAGGAGGCGCGGCGUUCUCUCAGGGGCGGUGGCAGCUUGCCGCUCUUGCAUUCGCGAUCGCAGAUCUCCCGGGCCUCCCUCGACGAGAACCUCCUCAGCCCUCGCCAUCCCUCCCCCGCGCGCGAUCAGCAGGCAUACAGAAAAAGUUUGUGCUCGUAGAGACCUCUCUCCAGCAAAUUGUAAGCAUCGUCGCUGCUUCAGUUCUUUUCCCUACCUUUUUUAAAACAACAAAGUUUCGUUUAUUGAGACAUGCUACCGCAGCUUAAGGGACAAGACGAUCUCA
Non-coding RNA from Lolium perenne, 1059 nucleotides. The record is from RefSeq and is a predicted model, not a curated record. Lineage: Eukaryota; Viridiplantae; Streptophyta; Magnoliopsida; Poales; Poaceae.